UGGUGUAAAAACUAGUUCCACCUUCUUCCUGUUGUCAAGCCCGGCUCGUGAGAGCUUGACAAAAAGGAAGCGGGACAACGAGGGAUGCCAAUUAAAGUAUAAUUUAUUAAGAAAAGGUGACCAAAGUAAAUAAACGGAGCUUAACAGUGUAACCUA
Long non-coding RNA from Melanotaenia boesemani (Boeseman's rainbowfish), 156 nucleotides. RefSeq lists it as uncharacterized. The record is from RefSeq and is a predicted model, not a curated record. The transcript is spliced from 3 exons. NCBI's taxonomy places the organism in Eukaryota, Metazoa, Chordata, Actinopteri, Atheriniformes, Melanotaeniidae.